CAACCCUCAGCUCCCUCCUUUCGGGGAGGGUAGCUGGUGCUGGGGAUCAGCCCUUCAGAAGGCUGUCCCCCAAAUACAGUGGCGGUCUCGCUGUAGCCCCCUUGCGUAGUAGCACAUCUCGCACCGGAGCCUCGACGUGACCACGCCGUAAAACCCCCAACUUUAUACU
RNAcentral lists this unclassified non-coding RNA (169 nucleotides) under uncultured Hypocreales. Its description in RNAcentral is "sequence contains ITS2". The record is from RNAcentral. Lineage: Eukaryota; Fungi; Ascomycota; Sordariomycetes; Hypocreales.